RNAcentral lists this ribosomal RNA (497 nucleotides) under uncultured bacterium. Its description in RNAcentral is "partial 16S ribosomal RNA". It matches the Rfam family "Bacterial small subunit ribosomal RNA", at positions 28 to 507 of the family's 1533-position model. The record is from RNAcentral.
GAUGAACGCUGGCGGCGUGCCUAAUACAUGCAAGUCGAGCGAACGGACGAGAAGCUUGCUUCUCUGAUGUUAGCGGCGGACGGGUGAGUAACACGUGGAUAACCUACCUAUAAGACUGGGAUAACUUCGGGAAACCGUAGCUAAUACCGGAUAAUAUUUUGAACCGCAUGGUUCAAAAGUGAAAGACGGUCUUGCUGUCACUUAUAGAUGGAUCCGCGCUGCAUUAGCUAGUUGGUAAGGUAACGGCUUACCAAGGCAACGAUGCAUAGCCGACCUGAGAGGGUGAUCGGCCACACGGGAACUGAGACACGGUCCAGACUCCUACGGGAGGCAGCAGUAGGGAAUCUUACGCAAUGGGCGAAAGCCUGACGGAGCAACGCCGCGUGAGUGAUGAAGGUCCUCGGAUCGUAAAACUCUGUUAUUAGGGGAGAACAUAUGUGUAAGUAACUGUGCACAUCUUGACGGUACCUAAUCAGAAAGCCACGACUAACUACGUG